Non-coding RNA from Leptonychotes weddellii (Weddell seal), 3840 nucleotides. NCBI's taxonomy places the organism in Eukaryota, Metazoa, Chordata, Mammalia, Carnivora, Phocidae. The record is from RefSeq and is a predicted model, not a curated record.
UCUUCCCUUAUAGGAUGUCGUGUCCAAGAUGCUCCAUGUGGAUCCUCAUCAGCGCCUGACGGCCGUUCAAGUCCUAAAACACCCGUGGAUUGUCAACAGAGAGUACCUGUCCCAAAACCAGCUCAGCAGACAAGACGUCCACCUGGUGAAGGGUGCCAUGGUCGCCACCUACCUGGCUCUGAACAGGGCUCCGCAGGCGCCGCGGCUGGAGCCCGUCCUGUCGUCCGGCCUGGCGCAGCGCAGGGGCAUGAAGAGACUCACGUCCACGAGGCUCUAGCGCGAGCGGGCCCUGCCGAGCGUCCUGGGCUGUCGGGCGCUGCCGCGGUGCCCAGGCCGGGCUCGGAGGCCCAGGUCCCUCCGCUCGUUGCACGCCUGCUCGCCAGCGGGAUUGGAUCCAGCCCGGUGACCUCCCCACGCCCUGCUGUGCCAGCCUUGCCGCCUCCUUACCCCGAGCAAAGCCAGACAGACUCAUUUCACUGCACACCACCACGCCCGAUGCCUGUAGGGUUCCUUUGGACUCCGUAGGUCUUUCACGAUCAUGGCUUGUAUUUACAGAGAGAGGGUUUUUCCCAAUGAUAAUGCCCGUAACUGGGUCAGGUUUCCGACACACGUGUCCUAGUGAUUCGGGUGGGCGGACGCGCUGACCAGCUUACGGCACAGCCUCCCCGGGCGGGGCUGGCCUCUGCGGUCUGGGGUUGCCAGAAGGACAGGGUCGGCACAUGGCACCCAGAGUAGACGCCAGGUCCCCUCCCAAUGAUCCAAAGAGCCCUUGUCCCAUCGCCCUUCUUCCUGACUGAGGUGCUGGGUGUUCUCUCUGGGUCGCGGACCCACGGGGGGAAGAGCCCAGAACCGGCAGGCGGUAUCCUCACCCGGGGAGCCUCUUUUCACAAGAAUGGUGCGUCCCUGGGGAGGAGCCAGCGAGAGCUUGUGCCCCCCGCCCUGUGUCCUUGUUCCCGCCACGGCCAGGGCUGCAGGGCUGAGGCUCCACGCUCCCGCGCUGGCUCUAGCCGUGGCCGAGGCCGCCCAGGUUCCCAGAGCGUGUUGGGCCUGGCAUCUGGCCGCGGCCUUCCGUCAGCCUCCUGUGCUUUCCAAAGCCGUGGUUUUGCUGUGUUCACCUUCCCCUCUCCGGUCCACGGGAGAUCCGUGAGCCCUGGCAACCCUGAGCUCUGUCCCUUCCUUCAAGGUGUGCUCUCAGUCCCAUGCAGCCGGGAGGGGGGCACAGGAGGCCCUGGUGCCGCCCUGGGGCCCGGAGGGGAGCCGAAAGGUGGGUUACCCAGGGUAGCCAUGCACUUUGUAGAAGCUGUGCUUUUGUGUUGCAUUUGUGUUUCUGGUUUUCACCUGAUGUUGCGGUGACAUUUAAUGUUUCCCUUGGGGCGCGUGCACACAGGAGGGGCGCGGUGCCGAGGGAGGGGGCUGUGCGCCUCUUGUUAACUGAAACCGGACAGGCUCGGCACCACUGCCUGGGCAGGAGGGGAGAGAGCGUGUGGCCUUCGGUGUCCUCCCACCGGCCCCACCGGGGGUGCCCCCAGGCCGGCCCAAGACUCCCCGCUGCCCUCGCUGGGUGUGGGGCACCUGCGGCCCUCAGCCAGAUCUCACUAAGAAGACAUAUUUCACUGUUCCCUUCAUCCCCCAUCUCAACCAACUACACCACCUCAAAAAGACAAAAAACAACAUGCGGCAUUCUGAGUAUAACUCCUUAGCUUGCUCCAGUUGUGUUCAGACCUUAAAAUGAAACCUUAUUUCAGAAGCUUUUAUAAUUCUGUGAGCCUUUCUCCCCCCUCAGAGAACCACCAGACAUAAAAGCAGGGGGGGGGGGAGAGGGGGCAGGUUCUUGAACCUGUUUCCCACAAAGCCUCAUUAGGCAUCUCCCCUAUUUUCCCCGAGGCCACAAAGGCUUGGUUCACAAUAGUUCUGUUUUAGGUCUGAAUUAUUUGAUCUAUUAUUAGAAGCUUAGGAGAAACUGGAUAGCCCUUAGGUCCCGGGUCUGCCCUCCUAGGAAGGCACCAAGGUCAUCACACCUUCCGUCUGCUGCCCAGGCCACUGCUCCAGGGUUCCCACUGCCGAGGUGUGCCGCCCGGGGGCCAGGCUGCUCGCUGUGAGUCGGAGCACGGAGGGACGUGGGCCAGAGGGGGCAGGAGCCCAGGAGCGGGCGGGGAGAGGGGACAGCGGGUGCUCCCUGCACACCACGGCUCCUGCUCGUGCACUCUCUCGGUGCCACCACGCACACAGCCCCACCUGCCACACCCCGAGAGCCGCAGAGCGACCUGGGGCUCACCUUGCACCACGUCGUGCCCUUAGCCAAGGCCAGGGUGCGGCAGUGGCCGCAGAGACCAUGCUGAACCAACUCUACUUGAAUGUCUGUGAAAUACCUCUGCUUUCUCACCUUAUCCAGAGCGCGGUGAUACUUGAAACCCUUCCACAAAGUCAGCCUAGAGACGUCGAUACCACAGUUUAAACCGAACUCCGAGGUCCAGUGGAGCAGCCAGCGGCUGAGCCUUCUAAGCAGCAGUGGGGUGCGAAGGAAGGGGUUACUUCUCAUUUGCGUCCCCUGUGGGGCGCACCCCUGCCGGCCCUGAGCGGCUCCAGGGCUUCACACAGGCAGCCAGACCACAGGGAGUCAGAUGGCUGCCCCACAGACCGCGGAACAGUCCCCCUCCCCGGAUCAUAGCCCCACAGACCGCGGAACAGUCCCACCCCCCAGGAUCAUAGCCCCACAGACCGCGGAACAGUCCCACCCCCCAGGAUCAUAGCCCCACAGACCGCAGAACAGUCCCACCCCCCAGGAUCAUAGCCCCAUAGACCGCGGAACAGUCUCCCCCCCGGGAUCAUAGCCCCACAGACCGCGGAACAGUCCCCCCCCCGGGAUCAUAGCCCCACAGACCGCGGAACAGUCCCACCCCGCAGGAUCAUAGCCCCACAGACCGCAAACAGUCCCACCCCCCAGGAUCAUAGCCCCACAGACCGUGGAACAGUCCCCCCCCAGAUCAUAGCCCCACAGACCGUGGAACAGUCCCCCCUACCCCCCGGAUCAUAGCCCCACAGACCGUGGACCCAUCCCCCCUCUGGAUCAUAGCCCACAGACUCUUGUGAGAAAACCGAGCCCUGGUCCUUGGGCCUCCUCCCCCACUGCCCCACGGUCCCCCCAGGGAGCCCACUGUGGUCUCGCCCCACCUGCAGGCCCCCCUGUUUGACAGGAACACCGACUCACCCCACCAGAGUGAGGGCUCUGCCAGAUGCCGCCCCCAAGUCAAAUUUGGGCAAGAGUGAGAUUUCACCUGUAUCCUUAGGUCAGAUUGUCCAUGAUUUUAAUCUAACUUUGUGUGUCUUGAUGCCUGGAAGAUUGUCCAGCAUUUUAAGUGAUAAUAGUACUUAACGUUAGCCGGUAUUGUUCAUUCAAUGGUGUUACUCCUAAAGCCACACCUUGGGACUGUUGCCUCACACUUGACUGAUUCUCUCAAGCACAUGACGAACUUGAUUUGCACUCUUUUUUUCUUUCCAAAUGGUUUUGUUGCCCUUCACCUCUCCAAGAGUCCUUAAAAUUCUAGAAUGGAAAAGGACACUGCAGGUCCCUGGGUGGAGAGAAGACGUGGGUUCGCAGAGCUCGGGAGGAAACCCGGGAGACUCGAACUCGCCACCGCUGGUCGCCUGUGGAGCACGCUUCCAACCCAGACCCCGACUCAGCACUUUGUUUACAAGCCCGCAUCUGUGUUUACAGGUCAUUCUUAUGUUCACGCUUUGUAUUUUAUGUUUGAGAUGGGCGGCCACUAUACAGAUAUUUAUUACGCUUUCCAGACUUUCUGAAUAGAUUUUUUGAAUAAACAUGGGUUUUAUGAAGUGUAA